CUAUGCUGACGACCGGCGCACGGGUGCGUAACGCGUAUAGAACCUACCUUAUAGUAAGGGAUAGCCCAGAGAAAUUUGGAUUAAUACCUUAUAGUAUUAUUGAAUGGCAUCGUUUAAUAAUUAAAGAUUUAUUGCUAUAAGAUGGCUAUGCGUUCUAUUAGCUAGUUGGUAUGGUAACGGCAUACCAAGGCUACGAUAGAUAGGGGUCCUGAGAGGGAGAUCCCCCACACUGGUACUGAGACACGGACCAGACUCCUACGGGAGGCAGCAGUGAGGAAUAUUGGACAAUGGAGGCAACUCUGAUCCAGCCAUGCCGCGUGUAGGAAGACUGCCCUAUGGGUUGUAAACUACUUUUAUAGAGGAAGAAACGACACUACGUGUAGUGUUUUGACGGUACUCUACGAAUAAGGAUCGGCUAACUCCGUGCCAGCAGCCGCGGUAAUACGGAGGAUCCAAGCGUUAUCCGGAAUCAUUGGGUUUAAAGGGUCCGUAGGCGGGUUUGUAAGUCAGUGGUGAAAGUUUUCGGCUCAACCGGAAAAUUGCCAUUGAUACUGCAAGUCUUGAAUCAUUGUGAAGUGGUUAGAAUGUGUAGUGUAGCGGUGAAAUGCAUAGAUAUUACACAGAAUACCGAUUGCGAAGGCAGAUCACUAACAAUGUAUUGACGCUAAGGGACGAAAGCGUGGGUAGCGAACAGGAUUAGAUACCCUGGUAGUCCACGCCGUAAACGAUGGUUACUAGCUGUUUGGACUUCGGUCUAAGUGGCUAAGCGAAAGUGAUAAGUAACCCACCUGGGGAGUACGUUCGCAAGAAUGAAACUCAAAGGAAUUGACGGGGGCCCGCACAAGCGGUGGAGCAUGUGGUUUAAUUCGAUGAUACGCGAGGAACCUUACC
This 891-nucleotide ribosomal RNA is filed under the name bacterium W13M60_B. RNAcentral's name for it is "bacterial SSU rRNA". It matches the Rfam family "Bacterial small subunit ribosomal RNA", at positions 83 to 975 of the family's 1533-position model. The record is from RNAcentral.